GUGAUCGGCUCUGCCGAGGCCGUGCCCCGGCACCUAAGAAACGUCCGUGGGGACGUGUCUGUGGGCCUGACCAUCGGCAGGCCUGUGCUCCUGCUUUUGCUGCGGCCGCUUGCUGUAACGCAGUCUGCGUUGUUUGAAGGGUAGUCUAUUCUUCUCCCUCGAUAUUACUUCCUUAACAAAAAUCUCACACAGGCUCUGUAUGUUCAUUUUUAGAAUAGUCAGAAAUCCUGCAGAAAAAGCGAUGCCAUUUUUCACAACAUACGUGACCGACCGUCUUCUGUAGAAGUGAGCAAAGCAAACCUCUGGUGGCCCUUGAACGCGCAAGCUGAUGGUGGAGAGAGGUGGUUAGUGUUGCGGCCGCUGCUUCAGAGAGGGUCAGAUCUAUAAAGAGAUCUGGGCAAGGAAGUCAAAGACCCUGUGGAUAUACAGGAAUCUAUCCUUCGGACUCCAGUGUUGUGAGCAUUUGGAUGCAUUAAUGAGAGAACAUUGCAAGGGGGCAGAGGAAAGAAAAGGGAGAAAACAAAUAAGGCCACAGUGAAGUCGUUCUAAAAGGCAAACCAGGAAAAAAGCCCAACAAGACACCAGAAAUGAGGAAAGCAGGAGCCCUGAAUUCAUUCCUCUUCAGCAUAAAUAGUUCAUCUGAGUUGUCUUAAAAGUGCCCUUAAAAGCUUCUAAAGUCAGACAAAGACCUGCCCUGGCAGAAUAUUUCCUUCUAUCUGCUGGGACCGUCGACAGGAUGUACACUGUAUGAUGCAUGUGGUCCCUGUGCUGGUGAAUUCCUUUGUAUGACCUGGGGCUAUGCAGAAUACCUGGUGACUUGUUGCAGGCAUUUUGUGUUGCUUAACAGAUACCCCCCAGCCCACAGGGACUGGGGACAUUGUGCACUGAGGUGCCCACCCCAGCAUGGGAGUGGAGGGGGAAUGUCACAGAGCAGAACCUGAGCAAGAGCCAUGGUACCAUCCCCCAUAACCUGUGGGACAGGGGCUGUGGGUGCUGUCCCUGUUGUUUCUUUCGAGCAGAGCCCCCCCGUUUCUUAGGGGUGCAUGUACCUGUGUAAACCGCAGUUAUGAAAGUAAUGAAGUAGCGAGCUGCUCCUCGG
Pezoporus occidentalis (night parrot) is the source of this 1099-nucleotide long non-coding RNA. RefSeq lists it as uncharacterized. The record is from RefSeq and is a predicted model, not a curated record. The transcript is spliced from 5 exons. Lineage: Eukaryota; Metazoa; Chordata; Aves; Psittaciformes; Psittacidae.